GAGUUUGAUCCUGGCUCAGGACGAACGCUGGCGGCGUGCCUAAUACAUGCAAGUCGAGCGAGCUUGCCUAGAUGAUUUUAGUGCUUGCACUAAAUGAAACUAGAUACAAGCGAGCGGCGGACGGGUGAGUAACACGUGGGUAACCUGCCCAAGAGACUGGGAUAACACCUGGAAACAGAUGCUAAUACCGGAUAACAACACUAGACGCAUGUCUAGAGUUUGAAAGAUGGUUCUGCUAUCACUCUUGGAUGGACCUGCGGUGCAUUAGCUAGUUGGUAAGGUAACGGCUUACCAAGGCAAUGAUGCAUAGCCGAGUUGAGAGACUGAUCGGCCACAUUGGGACUGAGACACGGGCCAAACUCCUACGGGAGGCAGCAGUAGGGAAUCUUCCACAAUGGACGAAAGUCUGAUGGAGCAACGCCGCGUGAGUGAAGAAGGGUUUCGGCUCGUAAAGCUCUGUUGGUAGUGAAGAAAGAUAGAGGUAGUAACUGGCCUUUAUUUGACGGUAAUUACUUAGAAAGUCACGGCUAACUACGUGCCAGCAGCCGCGGUAAUACGUAGGUGGCAAGCGUUGUCCGGAUUUAUUGGGCGUAAAGCGAGUGCAGGCGGUUCAAUAAGUCUGAUGUGAAAGCCUUCGGCUCAACCGGAGAAUUGCAUCAGAAACUGUUGAACUUGAGUGCAGAAGAGGAGAGUGGAACUCCAUGUGUAGCGGUGAAAUGCGUAGA
RNAcentral lists this ribosomal RNA (725 nucleotides) under uncultured bacterium. Its description in RNAcentral is "bacterial SSU rRNA". It matches the Rfam family "Bacterial small subunit ribosomal RNA", at positions 9 to 694 of the family's 1533-position model. The record is from RNAcentral.